This 1456-nucleotide long non-coding RNA is filed under the name Gossypium raimondii (Peruvian cotton). Its description in RNAcentral is "long non-coding RNA (GRAI_LNC010628)". Lineage: Eukaryota; Viridiplantae; Streptophyta; Magnoliopsida; Malvales; Malvaceae. The record is from RNAcentral.
GAGAAGUCCUUUUCUCCAGAUGAAGAAGUUAAAAUUUUCUCCUUUUCUUCAGCCAAAAGUGCUUUUGGCUGUUAAUUUCCAUUUUAUCCCCCCAAAAACCGUUCUUCCCUCUGGUUCUUUGCCUGAAAUAUCAAGUUCUUUGCGUUUGUUUCUUUUCCUCUGGUUCUUUGUUCCUCUUCCGCCGGUGAGUUUCUUUUCUUCUUCUCUUUAAUUAUUCAUUCUGCUUUGUUUUUAGUUGUUUUCUGAUUGUUUAGGGUUUAGCAAAAAUUUUACAGAAAUUUUACAUUCUUCUAUUGUUCACCAUCUCUCUAUUGAAUUUGCUUCUGGGUUCCGAACCCCAACUCAUGGAUUCUGUUAAAACUGCUUUGUUUAAUAGGCACAGUAAUUACAGCAUUUCAGUUGAUGAAAUCGGUAUGAAAUUGGAUUUCGUUUGGGCACCUUAUGUAUUUGCAUCUGCCACUUUUGAUUUAUUUGCAUCUGCAUUAUUGAACAAAAUCGAUACUUCUACAUUUUGAUGUUAACUUCUACAAUUACCUCAUUCAUGCUGUCUGCUUUGUAAUUUGACGAACAUAUUUUUUUCCUUUCCUUCUUUAAUUACUAGGCCAUUUCGUUCUCUGAUCUUUUCUGGGUCACAAAACUCAAUAUGGCAAACAUCUGGAUUCUGUCUCAGAUGCUCUCUUCGUUGCACUUUCUAUCAUGGUUUAGGGUCAAAAGCUUCACUGAAGCAGUUUUCUGUGAAAAUGCCACGAAUUUUGUUUAUUUUACUAAAAGAGGAUUUGGCUAGUCAAAGUAAUUGUGAUUCAUGUUAAUGGAAAGUUGCCUUUUAAUUAAUUCCAUAUACAGUGAGAUCGAGUAGAAACUAAAAGACUUUGGUUAUAGUCUUUCCAAAAGCGGAAGAUUUCGUUUCUACUUACUCCUCCAGUGUGUAUUCUUUUUUCGUUUAAGUUCACUGAAUUUAUUAUUUGAUGAAAUGUUUUCUUGGAAAUUUUGCUGCAGAGUGUUUUUGUAACGUUGAAGUUUUCUUAAUGAAUAUACAUCUUCCAAUUUGUGUUUUUCUAAUUAGUUUUUAUAUUAAAAUGGUAUGCUAUGAGAUAUUCAUAGAGCCUCUAAUUAGUUCACAAAUCCUACAAUGGCAGGCUGCGAAGAAGCAUUUGAAUCAACGUAUUCAGAACCUGGAUGGUAAAAUGGAAACACAGAAAGAAAUCUUGAAGAGCAUUCAAACAAGUGUAAGUGCACAUGUGUUUCCAUCUUUGACAUCAUAGCCAGAUUAUCUCCUCAAUUAGAAGCAUUUGAAACAACAGCGUGUAAGUCGUAACCAGUUGCACUCUUUUGUUUAUUUAAAGUAUUCUAGUGCUGCUUUUGCUAGCAUAUGCUUCACUCUAAUGCUCGUUUAAUUGGUUUUUCAGGCAUAGUUGAAGUUGUUGUUAUGCUGGUCACAACUGCCUUGGUGACACUU